RNAcentral lists this long non-coding RNA (1085 nucleotides) under Homo sapiens (human). RNAcentral's name for it is "novel transcript". The record is from RNAcentral. Lineage: Eukaryota; Metazoa; Chordata; Mammalia; Primates; Hominidae.
AUUGAAAGAGGAGGAGAGGAGGAGAGACCCACAGUUGAUCUCUGAGAAGUGAGUAGCUGGAGGCACCAGGAUACCAGCCAAGCCUAAAGGAUAAAGCAAAUCCCUGGACAUGGCUUUUGAUUCCAAGCUAAGAAGUGCAAGGAAGGUGGUGCAUUCUUGAGAUUGAGAAUACAGAUGAGAAGCAGGUUUGAAUGGUGAAGAAAUGAUGGACGCUGUUUGUCUCAAACAAGGACUCUAAUGAUACAACAGAACAAGUCACAAGAAAGCUUGCCUGGAAAACCAUACACUGGCCUCUUCGUGGUGAAGUCCUUCACAAUCCUUACAAACAUAGAAAAUAUUCAGCAAUUCGUUUGUUUGUUUUCCAGUCCACUCUUACUUGAGAAAAAUGCAAAACAUCAAAGACACAGAAAAACCACCAGUCUAUACAGCUUGCCCAUACUAAAUUGUUAUUCAUUUCAGAAGAGUGUACAGUUUCUUUCUGUAAGACUCUAUUAAACCAGUUACUCUACAAUAGCAAACAUUUUAGGCAAACCUAACCAUUGCUUCCCAUAAAGAUAUUUAUAUCUUUAAGUGGUAUCUGAUUCAUCCCUAAGAAAUAUGUUAUCAAGAUGUUUGUUUGUUUGUUUGUUUGUUCAUUUGUUUUUGAGAUGGAGUUUCACUCUUGUUGCCCAGGCUGGAGUGCAGUGGCAUGAUCUCGGUUCACUGCAACCUCUGCCUCCCGGUUCAAGCGAUUCUCCUGCCUCAGCCUCCCGAGUAGCUGGGAUUACUGGCACCCACCACCACUCCCAGCUAAUUUUUUGUAUUUUUAAUAGAGACGGGGUUUCACCAUGUUGGCCAGGCUGGUCUCAAACUCCUGACCUCAGGUGAUCCACUUGCCUCGACCUCCCAAAGUGCUGGGAUAACAGGCAUGAGCCAUUGCACCCGGCCGAAGAUUUUUGUUUUGACUGUUUUUUUCUGAACUACAGGGAAACGAAGGCUUUUAUGUUAUUGUCCCCCUUUUCUCACUAACUGGACUUCCUGUGACACGUGAAGACGCUAUGCAUGUUUAAUAAAUACACUUUGAAUUUAAUGCUCAAGGAAGAUAA